CGGAACACUGGGAAGAAAAAAAAACAUCUUAUGGAAUUUUAGAACGACUUUAUAGAAGUUGGAUUUUGAAAGUAUGAGUGUGUUUUGGCUAUCAUGGCUAACUAAAUUUUGGACAAUCCUGCAGGUGCUGCGUUCUGCAUUACCGCGUGAGUAAACACCUCGAGUAAUCGUAGCCGCAGCGAUCACGGCGAGAUGGCGAAGCCUGCGAUUCGUUCUCGCGUCUAAAGACGGCCAGGAAUGAAAGAUAAUUCGGCAAAGCGCCGGUAGAAUUCGUGCCUUAAACUAAUGAGUAAGGAAAAUAUAGAGCUUUGGUGACGCUUAGCUAUGCUAUAAUCAAGCGACCGUAUUUUUGAAUGGGCACAGGUCGUCCCAGGCUGCUUGGACUACUUUUUCGAGCGGCUAGGUGAAGCGAUCUACCCG
Long non-coding RNA from Diprion similis, 420 nucleotides. RefSeq lists it as uncharacterized. The record is from RefSeq and is a predicted model, not a curated record. NCBI's taxonomy places the organism in Eukaryota, Metazoa, Arthropoda, Insecta, Hymenoptera, Diprionidae. The transcript has 3 exons.